UGGAGCAGGCAUUUUCGCAAUUCGGCGAAGUCAUUGAAUCAAAGGUCUGUUUGUCGCGGAGAUCUGAUACGACCCGUUGUUUCUCUCUGAUCUGUUAACCUUGUUACUCUGUUACUACUGUUACUCUGUUACCACUGUUACUGUUUCUGUUACUGUUACUCUUUUACCUCACCCCUGAUACGGUACGUUCCGUCUUCCUCUUUCUCACAAAAAGGGUCGAAGAUUGAAUUGUCGCUAUUCAGCUUUUUUUUUUUAUUUUUUUUAUUUUGGUAAAUGAAAAUUCCAGAUCUGGAUUGAAUAUUUGCUAGAUCUGAUUUUUUUUUUUGAUUGUGAUUUUUUGGUUCGGGAAUAUUAUUAACGAUCGCGAGACUUGAAGAUCCUGGGGUUUCGGAUUCGUUAC
This 400-nucleotide long non-coding RNA is filed under the name Erythranthe guttata (spotted monkey flower). RNAcentral's name for it is "long non-coding RNA (EGUT_LNC001061)". The record is from RNAcentral. Lineage: Eukaryota; Viridiplantae; Streptophyta; Magnoliopsida; Lamiales; Phrymaceae.